GGGAAUCUGCCCUUGGGUUCGGGAUAACCGUUGGAAACGACGGCUAAUACCGGAUGAUGACGAAAGUCCAAAGAUUUAUCGCCCAGGGAUGAGCCCGCGUCCGAUUAGGUAGUUGGUGGGGUAAAGGCCUACCAAGCCGACGAUCGGUAGCUGGUCUGAGAGGAUGAUCAGCCACACUGGGACUGAGACACGGCCCAGACUCCUACGGGAGGCAGCAGUGGGGAAUAUUGGACAAUGGGCGAAAGCCUGAUCCAGCAAUGCCGCGUGAGUGAUGAAGGCCUUAGGGUUGUAAAGCUCUUUUACCCGGGAUGAUAAUGACAGUACCGGGAGAAUAAGCCCCGGCUAACUCCGUGCCAGCAGCCGCGGUAAUACGGAGGGGGCUAGCGUUGUUCGGAAUUACUGAGCGUAAAGCGCACGUAGGCGGCUUUGUAAGUAAGAGGUGAAAGCCUGGUGCUCAACACCAGAACUGCCUUUUAGACUGCAUCGCUUGAAUCCAGGAGAGGUGAGUGGAAUUCCGAGU
Molecule: ribosomal RNA, 520 nt
Filed under: uncultured bacterium
Lineage: Bacteria
Description: bacterial SSU rRNA
Rfam family: Bacterial small subunit ribosomal RNA
Source: RNAcentral